Long non-coding RNA from Monodelphis domestica (gray short-tailed opossum), 1077 nucleotides. The record is from Ensembl. NCBI's taxonomy places the organism in Eukaryota, Metazoa, Chordata, Mammalia, Didelphimorphia, Didelphidae.
AAUGGCUACAGUCUCAGUCAUGGUAAUUUGGUAAUUUAAUCCAAAGGGAAGUCAAUAGACAUACCUUUGGCUAGAACCAUGGAAUGAAGGUAGUAUUUGUUACUAAACCUACUUAAAAAAGCGGAACAGGGAACAGUGAUGGUAUGGAGAAUGGCAAGAUGGUAGAUGAUUAGAUGCAAAGUGAAUUAUAGUCUGAGCAUGGCUACUCCUAUAAUACUUGAGUUACAUUUAUAAUCACUGGUUAAGACUGCCUGAGAAAUAAAAAGUUAGAUAGAUUGAAAUAUAGAUAGAUAGGUAAGUAGAUAGGUAGAUAGGUAGGGAGAGAGAGAGAGAGAGAGAGAGAGAGAGAGAGAGAGAGAGAGAGAGAGUAGAUGAAUGUGUGUGUGUAUAAAGCAGCCAUCUAUUUAGACAGAGUAAGAAGAGCAGGAUUUGUUUUCUAGAUCAUGCUUUUGAUACCAGUAUAAUAUGAAGAAAGUAACCCUCUGUUUGAAGUAGGAGGUUCUGUAUUUUAAUUCUAGCUCUGUUUUUAUGAGCUUCAAUUUCCUUUUCUAAAACAUGAGGAGAUCAGAUUAGACAUUUUUAGUUCUAAUUGCCAUAAUCUAAAUAUGAGGCAUCAUAGUGAAAUAGAUAGGACUUAGAGUCAGCAAGGCUUAGGUUAAGUUCUGCCUACAACUCUUCAGGCUAUGAGAUCCAACCAAGUUUAAGGUUGUAAUAAGUCAUUGACCUUUUUUAGGCCUCAGUUUUCUUAUCUAAAAAUGGGGCUAAUAAUAACUGUAGUAUUCACCUCACAAGAUUACUGUAAUGUCCAACUUUUUGUGUCCCCUUUUGGGUUUUCCUUGGCAAAGAUCCUGGGGUAAUUUUCCAUUUCCUUCUCUAAUUCAUUUUAGAAUCCAGGAAACAGAGACAAAAAGGAUUAAGCAGCUUGCGCAGAGUCUCACAGCUGAUUCUUACUCCUUCCACCAAAAUUAUACUCUGAAACCUCACCAUGGCACAGAGAAGAUUUCACUUAUACCAGCAAAAUACAAACUUUUAGAAAAUCCUACAACCCUGGAAAAGCUUCACAUAUAUGUUCAAUAA